RNAcentral lists this ribosomal RNA (429 nucleotides) under Bacteroidota bacterium. Its description in RNAcentral is "Bacteroidetes bacterium partial 16S ribosomal RNA". It matches the Rfam family "Bacterial small subunit ribosomal RNA", at positions 355 to 776 of the family's 1533-position model. Lineage: Bacteria; Pseudomonadati; Bacteroidota. The record is from RNAcentral.
UAGGGAAUCUUCGGCAAUGGGGGGAACCCUGACCGAGCAACGCCGCGAGAGUGAAGAAGGUUUUCGGAUCGUAAAGCUCUGUUGUUAAGGAAGAACGAGUGUGAGAAUGGAAAGUUCAUACUGUGACGGUACUUAACCAGAAAGGGACGGCUAACUACGUGCCAGCAGCCGCGGUAAUACGUAGGUCCCGAGCGUUGUCCGGAUUUAUUGGGCGUAAAGCGAGCGCAGGCGGUUAGAUAAGUCUGAAGUUAAAGGCAGUGGCUCAACCAUUGUAGGCUUUGGAAACUGUUUAACUUGAGUGCAGAAGGGGAGAGUGGAAUUCCAUGUGUAGCGGUGAAAUGCGUAGAUAUAUGGAGGAACACCAGUGGCGAAGGCGACUCUCUGGUCUGUAACUGACGCUGAGGCUCGAAAGCGUGGGUAGCAAACAGG